CCUUUUUUGACGGGAUCGGGAUCGGGAUCGCGGCUGGGGCAGCGCUCGGGUCACCGUCACCGUCACCGUCACUGUCACGGGCGGCACCCGAGCCUCGGGGACGCGGCCCUGGGGACCGGCUGAGGAAUUCCAGCUCCUGGGAAUUUCAGCUCCAGGGAAUUCCAGCUCCUGGAGAUCCCAGCUUGUUGAGAUUCCAGCUCCUGGCAAUUCCAGCUCCUUGGGCACCCGUUGGGAUGGAAGAGGGGCCAGGGCUGGCGCCUCAGUGGCGGUGAGCCGAUGAGUUUCCUCCCGCUGCGCUGACGACGGAUGGGGGCCGGGCGGGGCC
Long non-coding RNA from Melospiza melodia melodia, 325 nucleotides. RefSeq lists it as uncharacterized. Lineage: Eukaryota; Metazoa; Chordata; Aves; Passeriformes; Passerellidae. The record is from RefSeq and is a predicted model, not a curated record. The transcript is spliced from 3 exons.